This 491-nucleotide ribosomal RNA is filed under the name uncultured bacterium. RNAcentral's name for it is "bacterial SSU rRNA". It matches the Rfam family "Bacterial small subunit ribosomal RNA", at positions 28 to 514 of the family's 1533-position model. The record is from RNAcentral.
GAUGAACGCUAGCGGCAGGCCUAAUACAUGCAAGACGAACGGUAAGCUUUGUAGCAAUACGGAGCCUAGAGUGUCGCAAGGGUGCGUAACACGUAUGCAAUCUACCCUGUACAGGAGUAUAGCUCCCCGAAAGGGGAAUUAACCCUCCAUAAUAUGAUGAACCGGCAUCGGUUUAUUAUUAAAACUGAGGUGGUACAGGAUGAGCAUGCGUCUGAUUAGCUAGUUGGUAGUGUAAUGGACUACCAAGGCAAUGAUCAGUAGGGGAACUGAGAGGUUGAUCCCCCACACUGGCACUGAGAUACGGGCCAGACUCCUACGGGGAGGCAGCAGUAGGGAAUAUUGGACAAUGGGUGAGAGCCUGAUCCAGCCAUGCCGCGUGCGGGAAGAAGGCCUUCUGGGUUGUAAACUGCUUUUAUCUGGGGAUAAAAAGGCCUUGCGAGGCAAACUGAAGGUACCAGAUGAAUAAGCACGGACUAACUACGUGCCAGCAG